Molecule: ribosomal RNA, 501 nt
Filed under: uncultured bacterium
Lineage: Bacteria
Description: partial 16S ribosomal RNA
Rfam family: Bacterial small subunit ribosomal RNA
Source: RNAcentral
AUUGAACGCUGGCGGCAGGCUUAACACAUGCAAGUCGAGCGGAGAUGAGGUGCUUGCACCUUAUCUUAGCGGCGGACGGGUGAGUAAUGCUUAGGAAUCUGCCUAUUAGUGGGGGACAACAUUCCGAAAGGAAUGCUAAUACCGCAUACGUCCUACGGGAGAAAGCAGGGGAUCUUCGGACCUUGCGCUAAUAGAUGAGCCUAAGUCGGAUUAGCUAGUUGGUGGGGUAAAGGCCUACCAAGGCGACGAUCUGUAGCGGGUCUGAGAGGAUGAUCCGCCACGCUGGGACUGAGACACGGCCCAGACUCCUACGGGAGGCAGCAGUAGGGAAUAUUGGACAAUGGGGGAAACCCUGAUCCAGCCAUGCCGCGUGUGUGAAGAAGGCCUUAUGGUUGUAAAGCACUUUAAGCGAGGAGGAGGCUACUGAGACUAAUACUCUUGGAUAGUGGACGUUACUCGCAGAAUAAGCACCGGCUAACUCUGUGCCAGCCGCCGCCGUAA